This 916-nucleotide ribosomal RNA is filed under the name Macaca fascicularis (crab-eating macaque). RNAcentral's name for it is "partial 16S ribosomal RNA". The stretch from base 151 to 916 matches the Rfam family "Bacterial large subunit ribosomal RNA", at positions 566 to 1953 of the family's 2925-position model. The record is from RNAcentral. Lineage: Eukaryota; Metazoa; Chordata; Mammalia; Primates; Cercopithecidae.
GCCAAUGCUAGCCCCAAGCACAACCAACACUAAUACCAAGCCAACACACACUAAACCAUUUACCUACACAAAGUAUAGGCGAUAGAAAUUUUAAUCUGGCGCUAUAGACACAGUACCGUAAGGGAAAGAUAGAAAUCCACCCAAGCACAAAACAGCAAGGACUAACCCCUGUACCUUUCGCAUAAUGAAUUAGCUAGAAACAAUUUCACAAAGAGGACUACAAGCCAAAUCCCCCGAAACCAGACGAGCUACUCAAAAACAGCUAAAAGAGCGCACCCAUCUAUGUGGCAAAAUAGUGGGAAGAUUUCUGAGUAGAGGUGAAAAGCCUACCGAGCCUGGUGAUAGCUGGUUAUCCAAGACAGAAUCUUAGUUCAACCUUAAGCUUACCUAUAGAACUACCUAAUCCCCCUGUAAGCUUAACUGCUAGUCUAAAGAGGGACAGCUCUUUAGACACUAGGAAAAAACCUUACGGAGAGAGUAAAACCCCCAAUCACCAUAGUUGGCUUAAAAGCAGCCAUCAAUUAAGAAAGCGUUCAAGCUCAACACUAACCACCACAAAAAUACCAAACACAUAACUGAACUCCUCACACCACAUUGGAUUAAUCUAUCACCAUAUAGAAGCAAUAAUGCUAGUAUAAGUAACAUGAAUAUUUUCUCCACCGCAUAAGCCUAAAUCGGACCGAAAGUCUCACCGAUACCUAACAGCCAGGCAUAACAAACACAAACAAGCCCAUGCCACCUUCGCUGUUAACCCAACACAGGCAUGCCUCAAGGAAAGGUUAAAAAAAGUAAAAGGAACUCGGCAAACUCAAACCCCGCCUGUUUACCAAAAACAUCACCUCUAGCAUUACUAGUAUUAGAGGCACUGCCUGCCCAGUGACACACGUUUAACGGCCGCGGUACCCUGACCGUGCAA